CGCAAAGGGCGAACACAUAACAACAAUCUAGAAAAAAUUAUAUUUAUUAUAUGAAAUUUUAUUUUAAAAUUUAAAAAUAAAAAUAAAAUCAUAAUAAAUAAUAAAAAAACUUACUGCCUGUGCCCUGAUUUUCAAUAGGAUUUAAACUAUUAUUAUUUCUCCAUUUAUCACACCAAGUAACAUCUUCCUACAUUUUAAAAAAAUCAAAAUAAAAUUAUAUUUAAAUCAUCUAUGUAAAUUUAAUAAAAAUAAAAUUAUACUAAAUAAUAAUAAUAGAUGAUCAAAAUCAGAAUCUUAAGAUAAUUAACUAAUUACGUAAUUGAUUAAAUAAACUAAAAUAAUCUAAAUUAAAUUUGUCAUUUAUAAUGAGAGUUAAUAACAAAACUAAUACUUACAUCUCAUAAACUAAAAUAAAAUAUAAAAAAAAUAAUGAUAUAACUCCACAUAUUCACGAGAAUGAUCAGACAUGGUGAAUAAAACAUAAAUUACAUAUUAUCGUCAUUACUUGAAACAACAAUGCGCUGAAAUUCCUUUCAAAGAUGCAUUAAACCUUUUUACUGCUGAAAUAUGUUAGAUGAUUGCUUAUAUCAGCAAGUGAAAACUUAAUCUUGAAAAUAAUUAUGACAAUUAUACCGUUUUUGAAAACCAAGUUAACUGAAGAAAUAGAAAAUCCACCUACAAAAGUUGAACAUAAUAGAAUUAACGGAAGAAAAAAAAAACUCAAUUCAAUAAAAAAAAUUCACCACACAUCAACAACAACAGAUACGUAAGAUUUCAUACCAGUCAUAUCAAAAUGUGCAAUAAAUGAAAUGUAAGAGAACUAAUAACUGCUGAAAUAGAAUCAGGUUAACAAAAUAAUUUUGACAUUUAUACACUUUUGAAAACUAAGUUAACCGAAGAAAUUGAAAAUCGAAACCUAAGCAAAAAAUGCAGAUGUUGAAAUCAGAUUAAAAUAUGCAGUAAAUGAAAUGUGAAACAAAUAUAAUCGGUAAUUAAUCACCCGAAGAAGUGAAUCUUGUUCGGUGAUUUCAGCUUCCUUGACAUCCUGAGCAAAAGCUUGGAAGAAUGAAAUGGAAAAGUAAGAAACCAUAACCGAGAGGAGAGGAGGAAGAUGUUGAAGAAAAAAGAAUAGAAGAUUUAGAAACUUCGGGGAAUCACCAUGGUGUUUGGUAGUUGAAGACGAGAGUCACAAACUCAGAGAAGAAGAGAACUCUGGUUCACUUGGUUAGUGAAAUUUAAAUCAGAAAGGAAUGUGGAGGGAGAUAGUGUGACGUAAGUGUAUAAUUUAUAGAACGACUAACAUUUCUUUUGGUUAAAACACUUUUCAUGCCGUUAGUCUUCAAUCACUAAUGGUCACGAAAGAACCCACUAGUUCCUAAAUCAAUCACCAUCCACAUGCAGUUUUUAUUUUAUUUUUAUAAAGACCACAUACUAUUUAUUAUUUAUUGAUGAAUUGUGAUUCAAUUUAUUAUCUACUUUAAAUUAAAUUAAAUUUUGUUUAAAACUAUAUAAGUAUUAGCUUUAUCGAUGAUUAAAAUAAACCAAUAAGCGGGGAAAAAAUGACAAAAGCACAGAAGGAAUGAACUGAUAUAACAUUUAACCGAUAGUUUUUAGAUAUUGAUAUAUAUUUUUUUUUCUUUCUUUAUAUGAAAAUAAAGAUCCAUAUUAAAUAAUGUAAUGUGCUCCAAAGUCAAGAUUAUCUAUUCCAAAUAGAUGUCCACUAUUUACUGGUAAAUAUAUUUUCUCACUUAAAAAAUAUUGUAAAUGUUUACUGUUUUAUAUCAUUGCCUCAAAUAAAAAGUAUAAUAAAAAGAACAUUUAUACCAUUACAUAUGCUUACAAAGUUGAUAUUAUUUAUUUUAAAAGAAAAUAAAAACCAACAAUAUAUAUAUAUUGUAUGGUUUCAUGAAAAACUCAUUAUGUACGGUAGUAUCGAAGAUAAUGCUUUUUGUCCACGUAUACUCUCUCACCUUCACUGUCAGAUGUGGCCUUUUCCAUUGAUAUUGAAAGACCACUCCUUAGAAAAUGACAAAACUCUGUAAGAAAUGAAAAGCAAUACUCAUAUGUGUGAAAGUUUUAUUGUAAGUUUUGAGGACUCCUUGAAGCUGAAAACGUGGCAGUACACUGUCCCCUCUAAAAAUCCUUUGCCUGCAAAUUAUUCAGCUACUUAAUCGUAGCAGAGAACAGGUUAAUUUUGAGUGGCACAAUGUACCAUUUUGAACAUUUAACCUACAAUAAAGCAAGUCCUCUUAUUUUGGUGUGUGCGUUUCCAACGAAUCGUACAAAGGUUUUUCAAAUAACCCUGCCACGCGCUCAACAUUCCUACCCUACACCAUGCAUAAACUUGCGAUCUAUCGGUGGUGCGUCUCAUGCUCCCGUUUUGUUGGGACACGUCAAAGCAUGCAUGACAGCUUCGUGAAAAUUUAACUCCUAUCCUUACAAAACUAUCUUAGGACACUUACAUAAUUCAAAAUAAUAUUAGCUUUUUUUUUUUUACAUUUUCAUUUUUCAGUCUCACUUUCAACUAAUUAUUUCUAAUAUAAAUUCACUCGCUCAAAAAAAAAUUAAUAUGUAAAAGACUUUCUGAUUUACACUUUAUUUUGAUAUAUUUCAAAAGAAACUUUUCAAUAUGUUAUAUUUUAUUGAAAAACUUCUAUAAAAUUUUGAAAUUUUUUAGAAGAAGUUUUCUUAUGCUCCGUUUUAAAUUAUAAAAAAUUUUAGGUAUUCCACACAAAUUAAUAAAUAUUAUUAAUAAUUGUAAAUUAAUUUAUAAUUUAGAACAACUUUUUUUUACAAAAUAACUUAUAAUUUGUAACAAAAAGAGAGUAUAUUUUAUGAAAAUAUUUUUAAAAUUUUUUGUUGAAUUAUAUUUUAGUGGUAAAUUUAAUAAAAAAUUUCCUGAAUUUUUUUACAAAUCACAAAUGUAGCUCACAAAUGGUAGCAAAUAAUCCACCGUGUCCAUACUAUCACAAUAUAGCUCACCUCGUUUAUGAAAAUUUUACCUGCCACCUAAACAUAAGAUUUAACAUGAUCGUAAUACUUCCAAAACCAACAAAACAAUUAGUCAUGGUCUAAAUUUUACUUUUUGGAUUUUUGUCCAAAACAACUAAGUCUACCUUCCGAGAACUAUAUAAUAUUUACAAAUAAGAAUUCUUUUUCAUUCAAUUCUUUGUAUUUAUACCGAUUUUUUUAUUUAUAUAUUACUAGACAUUUAGGAAAAAACAUACUUUUUUACUAAUUUUUUAAAAUUGCAAAGUAGUAAAAAAAAAUUGUUAUACGAACAAUUUAGAAAUAUUCGGUAAAAGUUAAAGUUCUUUUUGCAUUUUUAUAGACAAUUUCAAAAAUGUGGUAUGACCAUAUGUGUUUUUACCAAUUAUUUUAAAAAAUUGGUAUACACAUACAUUUUUAUGGAACAUUCCAAAAUUUCCUUUAAAAACACAUCUGAUUAUACUGUAGUUUUUCAAUUGUCGGUAUGUGUGGGAGUGUGAUUGGAUAUUUCAAAAUAUUCGAUUUUUUUAAUUGUGUUUUUUAUUUUGUUUGUAUUGAAGACAAGAGGAUAAAACGACAAGGCGAUACAUAGAUUCAGUGAGAGAGCAACAAGAGAGAGCUCUAGUUGAGGCGAUGGAGAUUAUAAAGACAAUGAUCUACAGAUUAGGACAAGUAAAGUUGUUCCCAAUGGUUUUCAUUGCAUGAGGAUCAGGUGAUUCCUUGACGACUCACAAAAGUUUAGAAUAAGACUAACACUCUUCAGAAGAUAGUUAUCCAGGAGUUACAUUACUACAACUAUUAGAAUUCAUAGUAGUGAAGAACUUUUCAUUAUCUGUUAUAACAGAAUUCUGUUAUGAGUUGUUUACAAACAGUAGCACACAGUUGCAUUUAUAGUAGCAACUGUGUGACCUGCUACAGCAGGUUACCUGUUGCUGAGACUGGACACAUGUCAGUCAUUACAAGGUAAACUAGACUUAACCUCUCUCUCUUAGUUAUACUCUAAUACCCCCUCCACAAACUCAAGGGGAGCUACUGUUAGCAACUCUGAGUUUGUGCCGAAGUUCCAGGAACUUUGUAGAAGAAAGAGGCUUAGUGAGGGCAUCCGCAAUUUGAUCCACACCAGGAAUGUGAGCAACUCUGAUUUGCUUUGCAAUAACCUUUUCUCGAACAAAAAAGAGAUCAAUCUCCAUAUGUUUAGUCCGCGAGUGCAUGAUGGGAUUAUGUGCCAGCAUCACUGCAGAUUGAUUGUCACAGAGCACCAAGGGCUGUUGAGUAGAAACACACAGUUCAGAUAAUAAAGUCUGAAGCCACAGUAGGUCAGCAGUGGCUUGAGCUAAGCUUCGAUACUCAGCUUCUGUGCUGGACCUAGCAACUACAGGUUGCUUUUUAGACCACCAAGAGACCAAGUUGCCUCCAAAAUAAAUGGCUGCACCAGAGGUGCUUCUUCGGUCAUCUGGGUCAGAGGCCCAGUCAGCAUCACAAAAGACUUGAAGAGAGGGAGGACUAGAGGAAGUGUAAGGGGACAGAUGAAGCCCAUACUGAAUAGUGCCCUGGAGGUACCGUAGAAUUCGUUUGACAGCAACCCAGUGUGAUUCUAGAGGAUGAGACAUAAAUUGACAAACUUUAUUGACUGCAUAGGCAAUAUCAGGCCUGGUGAUAGUGGCAUAUUGGAGGGCACCAACAACAGACCUGUACAUGUAUGGAUCAGCAAGGGCAGGUGACCCAAGUUUGGUGAGUUUACAAGAGGACUGCAUAGGAGUGGUUACAGAACUAGAGCCAGCCAUGUUAGUUCUCUGCAGUAAAUCUCUAACAUAUUUGGUUUGAGUGAGAAACAUGGAUCCUUGAGCAGAAGGCUUGACUUCAAUGCCAAGAAAAUAAUCCAAAUUACCAAGAUGUUUGAGGGAAAAAUCAGAGUUGAGUUUGUUGAUAAUGGAGGUGAGCAGAGUAGUAUUGUUGCUAGUGAUGAUUAUAUCAUCAACAUAUACUAACAAGUAAACAGUGCUGCCAUGGGAGGCAAAGAUGAACAAGGAGGGAUCACAUUUGCUGGGUUUAAAUUGCAACUUGAGCAGGGCUGCCUGUAGUCUUUCAAACCAUUGUCUAGGGGCCUGUUUUAAGCCAUAAAGAGCUUUGUGUAGCCGGCACACCAGAGAAGAAUCAGAGGUAAUAAAGCCUGGGGGUUGAUCCAUAUACANAGCACACAGUUGCAUUUAUAGUAGCAACUGUGUGACCUGCUACAGCAGGUUACCUGUUGCUGAGACUGGACACAUGUCAGUCAUUACAAGGUAAACUAGACUUAACCUCUCUCUCUUAGUUAUACUCUAAUAACAACCAUAAAAACGUAGAACAUCCAAUUUCAUUACGUGUUCGAUACAGCUAAACCAAAUUAGUUUGACAAUAUCUAGUUCUGGUUACUAUAUUCCAUAUCAAAUCCUCUUAUAGGGUUUUGAUUCAUUCAAGAUUUCUCCCGACACAUAAUCUCGACCAAAACAACAUAACACCAUUAAGGAACUUUAAAUCAUCAAUGAGACACCACUUCUAAGGAACUUAAGCAAUCUAGAGCGUAACUAUGAGUGUCCAUACACCUUAUAGAGUCACACACAAUAUUUCAUACACAUAUAGAGAUAACAUUUCACUUCGUAUCCCAAAAAAUCAUUCAUCUCAAUCGUUCCGUCCCAUCUUCCAUAAUCUUAUCACAUGCUCUUACUAAUAUACAGUCCGAGUUACCUGUUUAACUUUAGAAAUAACUGAUUCUCGUUCCUCCUGGGAAGUAUAACUCAUGAAUCCUUCCAAUAGGGUAGAGUAUCAUCGUACACAUCCAUUACCACUCUCAGGGAGUCUACAUCUAAGGCUAUGAAUCCAAAUGAAUUAAUCAAUUUCAUACCAUGACCAACCACUUCACACCUUAUCAAUAUGUACCAUAUACCUAUCUAAUCUCUUCCAGAUCGCCACUUAGUGGGUCUCUUCCAGCUUUGAUCCUUAUAGUUAUUCAUAAUCAUAAUAGCGGUACUUCCCAGACUUACUUAAACUGAACACGGUUCACCAGGUUGGUUUUCCCACACGUCUGACUUCCAUGAUAUCUCUACAGAUGACCAACUACGCAGUACACCUUCAGAAAUCCCAAUUUCAAAACUACCAAUCUGACUUGGGGUGACUUGUAACUCCAUCCUCAAUUUGUACAUCCACAACGGUACACUUAUGACAUUUAAGACAUCCUUGGCUCCAACAUGGUGUGAAUGUUUAUACUCCGCGACCAACCAACCAAACACUUCUCCAGAAGAUAAAUAACAACCAAACUUCCAAUAAGCCACUACUACUCUUACAAUCCAAAUAAAAUGCACUUAAGAUGAACCUUAUCAUUGCCACGCACUUAUGACUGGGAUUUUUUUUUCUUUCUAAACCAAUACCUACUACACCCUUCAUCAUACUGGGGUUACUUUCCCAGAUGACUUGCUACAGACAAUCCUCAUUGUCUCCCAAUAAGCUCUUGUAACAUAACAUAUUCCACAUCCUACACUUAGUCCACGUGCUCCAACUUGGCUUGUCUUUCGUUGUCUAUCAUCAACUCAACUUCUUAGAAUACAAGGCUCACGACUCAACAAAAUGUAUGUUACUUUGCAUCCAUCUCAAGACAAGGAAUUUAUUACACUUACUUGUGACCAUAAUGCUGCUAUCACACACUUCUCUUAAUACCAAGGUUCAACUUCCUCCAUUCCACUACAUGCUCUAGGAAUCCUCGAUGCAAACAAUCAUCAACUACAAGCCCAUAACUUCGUCUUAAUGAGUCUUAAUGGUCUCAUUGUGCCUCUAUCUAAAAUGUACCCCAUUACAACAGUUAUAUUGUAACAUUCACACUGCUUCCACACUCUGUGUUCACUUGUCUUCCUAUGGUAAUUCUCUCAGUUCCAAUUACAAAACCAUUCUACUAGAAUUCCUUAAAUCCAACUUAUUUGCUCUUCUCCUCAACCAGAUCUCAUACAACCAAAACUCACUGGAGCUUCCAUUACUAUAUAAUGUGCGUUAUCUCUCUCCAACACAAACUCUUAUAAUUGAUCCUUAGGUAACUUUACAUUCCAUAAUGGUCUCUUACUAACACUGAACCGCUGACGAGCUAUCCCAAAUCCGAUCUCCCUUCUAAGACUGAACCUACUUGGUUUAUCUUCUAACCUCCAUUGGUCCAUACAUGUUUCACUUGGAACAGACAACCAUGUCCUCGAGUCUCUCCUUAGACUUCACCACUACCUUAGGCUCCCAACAAAACUGAACGUCCUUAUCCCUCAAGUCCUUAACCACUUGCAAGGUACCAUUCCAAAUAUAUAUUCCAUUAAGUACUCUCAUUCUUCCAAAAUAUUUUAGUGGCCUUAUAAACUGAAACACUGAUACACUACAUCACUUCCAGACCUUAUGACAUAUGCGUAACAUAACCAUCCUUUCUCCUUUACCAUACGGAAAUACUCAGAAUACUUAUUCCAUAUCAGUGAGUGUAUCUUACUCCCCUUAGCAAUUCACACCUUUCUCAAAGCUCUGACAAUUCAUCCAAUAGAUAUCCUUAACUUCUCAACCCCGUUAACACUACAGAAUCGCUUGAACGGUACAUUACUCUUCAAUUCCAUAAUACUCAAAUCACAACUCCUCUGAAACUUCAACCUGCUAUCCAGUUCUCCUUACUUUAUAACUCUUGGCUUGAGCCUACUCUCAAAGCACAAGUUCAACCCACACUUCGGAGUCCUCGUGGUCGCUCAGCCAUGAUCCUACCUACCAUGCACAUAGCAUUAGGUUGAUCAGGCCCAAUACUACAUACAGUGAUAUUAAGAAUCAUGUUGGCUAAACACACAUAUGAGGCAGGAAUAGAUUUACUUAUGAUGUUUCAAGGCUAGGUCGAGAAUCGACCUGCUCUGAUACCAACUGUAACAACCCGUAUAAUAUAUAUCUAGAAUAAUAUCAUACAAGUGUUAAUAAUUGGUACUGAUCCAAUAUAAGUGCCUAAUGGCAUCAAUAAAUAUACAUGUCCAAGCUAAAAACAUGAAUGGAACAUGUUAUACAAUAAUGCCUAAACAAUAAAAAUCUAAGAUCUAUGUGCAAUAUCUUCAUUGCACACAACUCCACAGCGGAAGAUCAUGAUAAACAAUAUCCCUCGAAACAUCCAUAACAACUUCUCAUAGAUUCAACCUGUAAAGAAUUACCUGAAAAAUAACAAUAAUGAUGGGAUAAGAUAAUAAUCUCAGUGAGUUCUCCUAUCCUAUGGGUCCACUCGGCUCUACAGGUUUUUCUAAUCAAUGUUUAACUCCUAUCCAACUCAAGUCAACAAGGGAACGAAGACUUGAGUGAUGGGGAAGUUAUCUCGCAAUUGUAUGGCAACAUGCAUCUGAGUUCUCAUAACUCAACCACGAUCAUUAUUCAGAUCACGACGCAUCAAUUCCCGAAGGGACUUACGUCUAAGCCAGGCCCGGUUCAUGCAUGCUCGUAUGGUUCGACUUUCACGAUGGAUAUCUGGUUCCCCUAUGGGACUCAAACCCACUUUUAAGAACCAUCACUCAUAUGGGACUUUACCCACUUUGAGUCUCUUUCACCGUAUGGGCCUUAUCCCAAUUUGGUGUCCACCUUUCCCCCAUGUCCACCAUGGUUGGGGCUCAAACCCAAUUGAGGCUCGAAUCAUUGGUCCCAUAUCCCAAUGCUUACUCCUCGAAGCAUACCACAAGAGAUGUGUACCACCAUAGAAAAACACACAUUCUGAAUACAUGAUCGGUUCCACAAUCAUCGGUUCCACGAACCAUAACAAAAUUCAUCAAUCACGGGUGACUUCAUUCACCACAAUACACAAAUAAUAACAUGGCAUGUUCCACACAAUGCGCCUCAUUCUCAAUCAUGGCAACAGUUCAUCCACGACCUCACAUAAGCGGCGUACGAAUGAAUACCGUAUUCUCAUACAUAUAUCACACAUGUUCCAUAACCUAGAUCAUAUUUCUAAGUUAUUAAUCACGUUAUUCUCCGAGGUUUCCUCACUCAUCUUUGUAAGGUUUUUAAUCGUGUUACUUCACCUUCCACAUAACAACAAUAUUUAAUUUUCAUCAUGAUAUAAUUCAUGGCAUUUAUAAAUCACAUAAUAUUUUAUAACAUGGAACAAUAAUAAUAGCCCUUUACGUUAUCCUUCUAGCGCAUCCGUCUGUGUCCAAAACGGAGUUAUACCACUCAAUUAAUUCAUUAAUCUAUCUUAAUCAAGAUUUAGAUUAAUAUUUAUUCAUUGCAUAAGUAUUCAACAACAACAUCUUUGGCCUAGUGGUAAGGCUUGUACAAAUCCAAGGAGCUCCCGGGUUUGAAUCCCAUUGGUGACAUAUUUUAAUUUUUCAAAUACUUAAUUCAUGUCAAUAGAUUGAUCAAAUGAAUCAAUCGAUCGAUUGGAAGGAUCAAUCGAUUGAUACCCAAGGCCAAUCGAAAGGAAUCAAUCGAUUGAUUCCCAGGGAAUCAAUCGAUUGAUUCCCAAGGCCAAUCGAUUGGUCUGUCAAAAUUAAUUCUCGGUAACUUAUUUCCUUCAAUAACUCCUCUUUUAUUUUCCUUUCCAUCUACCAUUUUUUUACCUACUAUUUUCACAUAACAUGAUUCUUCAACAACAACCAAUACUCAAGGAUUCCUCAACCUCAUAAACACAUGUUCUUAACAAACUCAACAAUCAUGUUCAAUUACAACAACACCAUAAUCAUAGAAAACAUGGUUAACUCAUGAUUCAUGGAAUAUUUCAUGAAUAACUCAUAUUGUUAUGAAUUCAUGUGAUUAACCUCCAUAACUUCAACAACAAAACACAUCAGCAUUAAACACCCAAGAAUCACAAUUUCAACAACAACAACAACAUGAUAUCAACACAUAGCAUGGAUGAGGAGUAUGAACAUAACAAGUUCAUAUGUACAUGUAUAAUAGGGAUUUCAUCAUCAUAAACACAACCAUAACAACUUAUGUAAUCACAACAAUCAUGAAGAGCAUAUCAAGCACAUGUUCAUGAAAACAACAACAACAAGAGAAAUAUUCAUCACAUAGCAUGGAUUACUCAUGAUUUGUUUAUGAUUCUACAACCCUAACUUUUCUAUAAACCUAGAGUUUCUAACUAGAACUCACCUAGUAGUAGAAAAAGAUGAAGUUGGUGAUGAUGAAGAUGACAUGAUGGUGGUGGUGAUGAACAUGAUUUCCCAUCUUCUUCCUUCCUCUUCUUCUCUUCUUCCUCCUUCUCUUCCUUCUUUCCUUAUCUUUCUUUUCCUUUCUUUCUGAUAUCUCUACCUCUCUCUCUUACCUACCACCUCUCUUCUUAUCCACUUCUUCUUUUCUUUCUACACCACACAAAUAUAUA
This 10321-nucleotide long non-coding RNA is filed under the name Lathyrus oleraceus (garden pea). RNAcentral describes it as "Pisum sativum (pea) long non-coding RNA (PSAT_LNC038054)". Lineage: Eukaryota; Viridiplantae; Streptophyta; Magnoliopsida; Fabales; Fabaceae. The record is from RNAcentral.